CGAGUGAGCGGCAAAGCUCAAAUUUGAAAUCUGGUACCUUCGGUGCCCGAGUUGUAAUUUGGAGAGGGCAACUUUGGGGCCGUUCCUUGUCUAUGUUCCUUGGAACAGGACGUCAUAGAGGGUGAGAAUCCCGUGUGGCGAGGAGUGCGGUUCUUUGUAAAGUGCCCUCGAAGAGUCGAGUUGUUUGGGAAUGCAGCUCUAAGUGGGUGGUAAAUUCCAUCUAAAGCUAAAUAUUGGCGAGAGACCGAUAGCGAACAAGUACAGUGAUGGAAAGAUGAAAAGAACUUUGAAAAGAGAGUGAAAAAGUACGUGAAAUUGUUGAAAGGGAAGGGCAUUUGAUCAGACAUGGUGUUUUGUGCCCUCUGCUCCUUGUGGGUAGGGGAAUCUCGCAUUUCACUGGGCCAGCAUCAGUUUUGGUGGCAGGAUAAAUCCAUAGGAAUGUAGCUUGCCUCGGUAAGUAUUAUA
Molecule: ribosomal RNA, 465 nt
Filed under: Saccharomyces cerevisiae (brewer's yeast)
Lineage: Eukaryota; Fungi; Ascomycota; Saccharomycetes; Saccharomycetales; Saccharomycetaceae
Description: eukaryotic LSU rRNA
Rfam family: Eukaryotic large subunit ribosomal RNA
Source: RNAcentral